CUCAGAAACAGUUAGCUAUCAUCACACCUUUUUUGUGCUCAAAAUAAAUCUGUUUACUCGUGAGCUCAUGUUUCUUGGUGUUUUUGUGGUCAAUUUAAAGCAGGUCAACAUUUUAUCCCACAGUACCCAUCUGCUAAUGAUGGCCUAAAAAGGAAGCGUUUUUACAGGUUCGACUUCCCCCAUUGCUCUGCCUUCAAGAGGAUGUCAGAUGCUUAAAGAAAACACAGAAAGAGGAAGACACAGAGAGGGAGAGAAAGAAGCACAUGGUUGAGAGGUGCUUUAUUUAUUCCAGUCAGUUCUUCCUCCUCCGAGUCCAGAAUGCAGAUUCCCAAAGCUGGAUGUAUCGCGCUUUAUGCCAUGACUUUUGUUCAUCUUUGGGGACGAGUUUUUACCUCGACGUCCCCGGCCCCUCUUCCAACACCGACCUUGAAAGUCAAAGCCAGGUCAAGCCAGUCUGUGGUUCUGAUUUGCCAGGCCCCAAAAGGCAACCAUGGAGUUCUGUUCAAGCUGUUCCAGGAAAGAGAGGAGGUGGACUUGGUGAACUUACAGUAUGGGGCUGAAGAGGUUCAGUUCACCGUCAGGGUGGACACAAAAAAGCCUAAAAUCUUCUGCUGUCUGUACAAGGACCAGCAGGGACUCUACAGUUUAAUAAGUCCCUACUUGGAUCUAGACGACCACAACGAUGAUGCCCCUACUGUCUUGCCUUCAAUCCCCCCUCCGCUCUUGUCUGUGGAUCCCCCCACAGACGUGGUAAAACCAGGAGCCACACUCCAUUUCAGCUGCAGCAUCCCCACUCAUCAAUCCCAGUCUCAAUCCCAGUCCCAGAAGCCAUCUUCUUUUCUCCUGCUGAGGACCGCUCAGCCAACAGGGGUUACGUCGGUCAUCCUAAGCCCGAAGGCCAGUCGGGUUUCAGACACCCCGCUGCCUGGGGUUUUCACAGUGGGACCGGUGAGGAAAGGAGAUGAGGGCGAGUACAUACCAGAUUACCAAAAGACGAGGAUUGGUUAA
RNAcentral lists this long non-coding RNA (1008 nucleotides) under Oryzias javanicus (javanese ricefish). RNAcentral's name for it is "lncRNA (ENSOJAG00000022055.1)". Lineage: Eukaryota; Metazoa; Chordata; Actinopteri; Beloniformes; Adrianichthyidae. The record is from RNAcentral.